UAGAUUGAAAAUACAUUGAAAUUAGGGAUUUAAUACGAAAAUAUGAAAUUAUAAGCUCCACCAAAAUGUUUUCUCUCCCAAGCCCGCUUCUCGAGGCGCCGUUUGAAGUUUUUCUGAUGGCUUUCCUCACCGGUGAGUCUCCUCGGGCAUUCUCUUUCCUUUAGAUCUGAGAUUGAUCUCAUCUCUGGCGAUUCCUACCGGCGUGUCCGGCGUUUUCCGGUGUCCUUCCGGUCUCUUACGUCUUCUCUCGUGUUUCUGGUGUGAUGGCCGGUGAUCUUAUGGUGUUUUCCAUAAGGUUUUGCUUCCUCUCCCGACGAAUCUGCGUGUUUAUCUCGGACUGAAGCUUCCUCCAAAGCUGGCUCUUAACCUUCCUUCACCACCGCAUCCUCCAAAACCUCCAGACCCACCGGAUCCUCCCCCUGUUCUUAGCUUAACUAAUUCACUCGCCGCUAUUUUGUCGUCCCACUCAGCUCUUCUCAACAUAGGCACAGCAGUCAUGAUUUCUUUGGGUUGGUUGGGUUUGGCUAUGGUUCUCGUGUCUCCCUGUGACACUGAUCUAGCCUUCCCGCGUCCCUCUACUGUUGUAUGCAGUUCUUGUACCCGAGUUGUCUUGGUCUUCUUUGGUAGGUUACAGAUCUGCUCUCCCGUUUGUUGGCAGCCAAGGUUUUGACAGCCUUCUCUCUCCAUUUUCAUGACAUCAGAAGGUAUAAUUUCUAGGACCAUUGUGAUGGAUGUACAAUGGGCUAGAAGUUGUCUUCUGUUAGUUCUCUAUUCCCUCAUUAUGAGGUUUCAUCAGGUUCAAUUACCUCAAUAUGAGGAUGUUACUAUUAUCAGAUUGGAUCAAAGCUUGUCUAGAAUGGUUGGAAUGUCUCUUAUCGGAAGGAUUGCGUGUAGUCAGUCUUUGGAGAUAAUUUUUUAUGGCUUUGGUGGGAAUCUGUUUGUCUUUGGUUUACUCUCGGAUCUCUCCAAUGGAGAUUCUAAUUUUCCUUGUAUUGAGGACUGGUUUAGAUGUGUUCUAACUGUUUUUGUGGCUAUGGACUUAGUCCCGAUUAUUAGCUUUGCUCUCUUUGGUGUUGUAGAUGGAAAGGUCUCAACCAAACCAACCUUCAACUUAGAAGAUAGAAGCACUUCAAGGGGCAUUUAAUUGUUUCUCCAAAGCAACUUGGUUAGUUAAAGCUACCGUUUGCGAUUUGGGGUGGAUCAUUAAGGACCCACUUAAGGUAAAGAUCCAUCAAAGAUCUUCUUCAAGACCCUUUGGUUCUUCUGUUUCUUUAGCCGAAGCACUAGCUUGAAAGGCGACGUUCAUCGUGGCUUUAGCACUGGGUGUAUCAAGGCUAGCCUGUUUUGCGGAUUGUGGAGAACCUUUGUUUCUUCUCAAUGUCGUUGGCUAUGCAAUAGAGCUCGUUCUCUUGGCAGUUUGCAGAGAGCUUCGUACCAAUCAUCUCUUUGUUUCUCUUCAUGUUGUUUCGUUUGUAGUAAACUUUGAGGUUGUUUCUUUGGCAAAGGAUUCACCUUCCUCCUGUAACUUAUCCUCCUUUAAUGGAGUUUGAGCUUCUUAAUUAAUGUAUUGGUUCAAAAAAAAAAAAAAAAAAGCUCCACCAAAAUUAAUUUAAAUUAUAAUUAGCACUACUUUC
RNAcentral lists this long non-coding RNA (1634 nucleotides) under Capsella rubella. RNAcentral describes it as "long non-coding RNA (CRUB_LNC000578)". The record is from RNAcentral. Lineage: Eukaryota; Viridiplantae; Streptophyta; Magnoliopsida; Brassicales; Brassicaceae.